Long non-coding RNA from Anopheles stephensi (Asian malaria mosquito), 1324 nucleotides. RefSeq lists it as uncharacterized. Lineage: Eukaryota; Metazoa; Arthropoda; Insecta; Diptera; Culicidae. The transcript has 2 exons. The record is from RefSeq and is a predicted model, not a curated record.
AAGGUGAAUUUUUGUCGAUUUGGCAGGUAGACAUUUUGGAUUUUGGCCAAGGUGUAUAUAUUUAGAAGGUGAAUUUUUGUCGAUUUGGCAGGUAGACAUUUUGGAUUUUGGCCGGUCGAGAAACUUCAAAGUUUGUUUACUUAAUCAUAUGGUUUGGGACUACCAAAAUAAACAAACAUAAAGCAUCGUUUUUCGGUUCAGUAAACCAAGUUUCUACAUUUAUCAUCGUCGUUGCACAUAGCACUGAAGAUAAACAGUUCCUUUACCAGCUCUAAAAAGAAAUUUGCGUGACGUUGUUUUCUUCAUACAGCUACCAAAGGCCUAUCGGACGUAUCGAAUUACGGCAUACCACUCGAUAAAAUUACACUGGUAGAUUAAGUGAAGCUGUUCGAUUCUCGUGCUAAGUACCAUAAAUUACAAGGAAUAGGAUAGAAUUGUGCCGCAUCCACCUCGAAACCCUUAUCUUUCGUACCCGUCAGGCGUAUAAUGCUUCACUGGAUAGCAUUAGCAAUUAUGCGUAGAUUGUUCGGAAAGUUUCACUAUGAUUUGAAAGCACCAGCACCACCAGUGCGUGGACCGUAAAGUAUCAGUAUCAUGAUGUGCUGCCUCCACUGGAUCCAGGUAAGGACUCCAUCGAUCAUCGGUGUAAGAACGUUUAUAUUGAAUGAUACUGUAAACUGUUUACGGGGCAUUCAAUAUUUAAGGCAAGAGGGAAAAUUUGUAAUUUUUAUUCGUGAACAACACAACCCAACGUGUGCAGGUGCCAACCGUUUACAAUAAGUCUAUUUUAAAGCUGUAUUUGCUGUUCAUUAUUUUUAUUUAACGAUUCAAUGAAACGGAACAACUUUACUCAGCGUUUAAACGCUUUCUUUCAAAACGACGAAUAUAUAUGAAUACACAUUUCAUUCAGUGUUAUAUGGACAGCGAUAAACGAACAACGUCGACGUUGUAGCCAGGACGGUAAAAUUUGCCAUUAACAGAAUCAUCACAUACUUAAGACAUUUUUUGAAGGUGAUUGAAAAGAAAGAACUUUCACUUCGAUGUCCAGGGAGUCAAAGUGCUCAGCAAAAAUAAGUAAGGAUAUUGUUAAUGUAUCUAGUGAUUAAAACUACUUCUACAAAACCAUCGUUAUUUCAUUUGCGGACUAAACAUAGCUUAGAAGUUACGAAUGAACUAGUUGAUUGAGAUAUGUAGAGACCGGCUCUUAUUGCUCUCUGCUUUAGUAUAUAGGAAAACUUGUUUGUAAACUUAUGUUAAUAUUUAUAAUUUGGCUUCAUUAAAGUUGAUCACAUUGUGUUCAUUACUCUUGUUACUGCACAUUGUA